UACGUAGGGGGCGAGCGUUGUCCGGAUUCAUUGGGCGUAAAGAGCUCGUAGGCGGCUCAGCAAGUCGGCCGUGAAAUCCCAGGGCUCAACCCUGGGGCGCCGGUCGAAACUGCUGUGGCUAGGGUCCGGUAGAGGAGAGUGGAAUUCCCGGUGUAGCGGUGAAAUGCGCAGAUAUCGGGAGGAACACCAGUAGCGAAGGCGGCUCUCUGGGCCGGUACCGACGCUGAGGAGCGAAAGCUAGGGGAGCAAACAGGAUUAGAUACCCGGCGUA
Molecule: ribosomal RNA, 271 nt
Filed under: uncultured prokaryote
Description: partial 16S ribosomal RNA
Rfam family: Bacterial small subunit ribosomal RNA
Source: RNAcentral